UACAGAGGUCCCAAGCGUUGUUCGGAUUCAUUGGGCGUAAAGGGUGCGUAGGCGGCGCCGUAAGUCGGGUGUGAAAUCUCGGAGCUCAACUCCGAAACUGCAUUCGAUACUGCGGUGCUUGAGGACUGGAGAGGAGACUGGAAUUUACGGUGUAGCAGUGAAAUGCGUAGAGAUCGUAAGGAAGACCAGUGGCGAAGGCGGGUCUCUGGACAGUUCCUGACACUGAGGCACGAAGGCCAGGGGAGCAAACGGG
Molecule: ribosomal RNA, 253 nt
Filed under: uncultured bacterium
Lineage: Bacteria
Description: partial 16S ribosomal RNA
Rfam family: Bacterial small subunit ribosomal RNA
Source: RNAcentral